Cicer arietinum (chickpea) is the source of this 1368-nucleotide non-coding RNA. The record is from RefSeq and is a predicted model, not a curated record. Lineage: Eukaryota; Viridiplantae; Streptophyta; Magnoliopsida; Fabales; Fabaceae.
UUUCUUCUUUUAUUACUCGUAUAUACACAACUUCUUAAAUACAAGGAACGAUGAUAAUAAAUUAAAAAAAAAAAAGGCUACAUUCUCACGAAAUCUCUCAUUCUUGCAGGAGCACUUCAAUCUUCAACAACACUGCAUUUCUCAUCCCUCAAUUCGUCACUCUAAUGAUGAAGAACACCAACGACUCGAACCAUCAAUUUCAACAAGAAGCUCUGCUUUCUCUAAAUGGAACCAUAAAUCUCUCACUACCAUCGCCUCGUAGUUCCUCUGUCGCACUGCACCUCUCGCUUUCAACUCGAUCUCCGUUUUCUGUAAUCUAAGGAGGAGAACGAUCGCUUGUCAAUAACUUCCUAUUUCCGCAUCCAUUGUUGAAAUUUUCUUCGGGAAGUAGCGUGGUUCUCUUUUCAAUUUUCAUCAAAUUGAAGUCUGAUAUUAUGCUAAUGAUUAUUUUUAUUAAAAUUGAAGUUUGUUAAAAUUGUUCAAAAUUCAUUGCAAGUUGGUAGUUACACUGCACUUUGCACACUAUAAUUAUAUCUGCUUGAAAUAUAAAAUCUGAAAUCAAUAAUUAACUCAACACACAAUGAGGAAACAGAAAAUUAUUGAAUGAAUGGAAACUAAUUAAUUGAUUUGAAAUUUUUAUUAGUUAUGUUUAUAUAUAAGCAAUUGAGAAGAAAAGCUAACUAACUAAUUUAACCACUAACAGAAAAUGGUACUCAUCUAAGCAAAUUAUCAUUAAGACUCUUAAUAACCCUUAACUAACUUUAGUAGCAGUGCCAAUAGUUGUACUCUCUUUUUGCUCCUGUAAAUUGUAAUGCCGAUUGUUUGGUAUGUGUUCUGGCCUCAAGUUUGAGCACCAUUUUUUUCACAUUUUUGUCCUUAAAAUUCGCCUAAUGUGAGUGGAGGGAAACAAGUGAUUAUAACUUCUUUGGCCUCGGUCAUUCAAUUAAGAUAUAGGACGAUUCAAAAUCUAAGGUCGGAGUUUUUAUUUAAAAAUUUCUGCGUGCAAUCGCUCUGCCCCUAAUCAAAAUCCAUCGGAAUAGAUCAUUUUUUAAGGAUGCAGAAACACUUGCAAGAAACUAAUCAAGGACAACCAGUUUGGUGGUUUUUUUUUCUCCAUUUGUUAAUUGUGUGAUAGAUGAGGUUUGUCUCAAAGUAUUCUUUUUAAUUCCCUGUAGAUUUGGAAAGUACUAAUACUCAAGAUACUCUAAUCUUAUUCAGAUUUCUUUAAUUGGAACACGGUGAAGAUACACUAUUGUGGUUGUGGCGGUGCAUCUUUUGCUGGUCUCACUGAGAAUGAGAACAGGAAGGAUGGUUGUUCUUUAGAAGCCAGAUCACAUGAGAAGCUAUGACGGAUGAACGCUUAUUAUC